GUGGCGCACGGGUGCGUAACACGUGGAUAAUCAACCCUUCGGCGGGGGACAACACCGGGAAACUGGUGCUAAUACCGCAUACGACCCAGAGCUCUCCGGCGCUCUGGGGGAAAGCCACGCAAGGGGCACCGAAGGACGAGUCCGCGGCCCAUCAGCUUGUUGGUGAGGUAACAGCUCACCAAGGCUAAGACGGGUAGCUGGUCUGAGAGGAUGAUCAGCCACACUGGAACUGAGACACGGUCCAGACUCCUACGGGAGGCAGCAGUGGGGAAUAUUGCGCAAUGGGCGAAAGCCUGACGCAGCCACGCCGCGUGAGCGAUGAAGGUCUUCGGAUCGUAAAGCUCUGUGGAGAGAGAAGAAUAAAGCCGGUGAAGAGCCGGCCUUGACGGUAUCUCUUUAGCAAGCACCGGCUAACUCCGUGCCAGCAGCCGCGGUAAUACGGAGGGUGCAAACGUUGCUCGGAAUCAUUGGGCGUAAAGCGCACGUAGGCGGCCUGACAAGUUGGAUGUGAAAGCCCUCGGCUCAACCAAGGAAGUGCAUCCAAAACUGUCUCGCUUGAAUCCCGGAGGGGGCCAGAGAAUUCCCGGUGUAGAGGUGAAAUUCGUAGAUAUCGGGCGGAAUACCAGUGGCGAAGGCGCUGGCCUGGACGGUGAUUGACGCUGAGGUGCGAAAGCGUGGGGAGCGAACAGGAUUAGAUACCCUGGUAGUCCACGCCGUAAACGAUGAGUGCUAGACGCCGGAGGAAUUGACCCUUUCGGUGUCGAAGCUAACGCGUUAAGCACUCCGCCUGGGGAGUACGGUCGCAAGACU
This 810-nucleotide ribosomal RNA is filed under the name uncultured bacterium. RNAcentral's name for it is "bacterial SSU rRNA". It matches the Rfam family "Bacterial small subunit ribosomal RNA", at positions 95 to 895 of the family's 1533-position model. The record is from RNAcentral.